This 1066-nucleotide long non-coding RNA is filed under the name Triticum aestivum (bread wheat). RNAcentral's name for it is "long non-coding RNA (TAES_LNC005111)". Lineage: Eukaryota; Viridiplantae; Streptophyta; Magnoliopsida; Poales; Poaceae. The record is from RNAcentral.
CUAUGUAGACUGUAGUCCAAGAAAUAGAGUAACAUAGAAUUCAUGUAGACAACUGUCAAUACUCAAUGUGCCCGAUAACAUUUAAAUAUGUACACGAAGAAUUCAUGUUUUAACGAAACAAUUCAAGGAGUUUAAGCACCAACAUAUCAAUAGAGUGAUGUAUUGUCGAUGUGUCAUACAUCGAUUCAGGAGAUAUCUCAACUUCAAAUGCAAAAGAAAGAAAGAUAUAACAACUACUUCGACCUUAUUCAAUGGUAAGUAUCAUGCAUACUUAUUUUGGUGCUUCUCGCCGGAAGCACUUCCGUUGGAGGAACACCAUUCAGAAAAUAAUUCUGCUCUAAAAGAAAAAAAUUAACAACUAAUUCGGUCUUAUCCAAUGGUAAAUGUUGUGCAGGCCAUUUUGGCACUUCUCACUUAAAGCACUAAUAUGAAAAACAAUGUAUACAAUAAUCUGAACCGCAGUAUUAUGCAGAGGAACAUAUUACAAAAAGACUCACAUGGAACAGUAAUUAGCCAGUCCAAGUAAUGUACAAUGAAGCUGCUCAUGCAUAAACAUGACAGUACACGAAAAACCUGAAAUUUUAAUAGUUCCUUACCACGGUACCAAGAAUACAGGAAGACACAUGUACGUGGAAAGUCAAACAAAAUCAACUCAUUCCUGUUUUGCUGGAAAUUAACGAACCUUGGAGGAUUGAGAUGUUGUUUCCCUGCACCCCUUGUUCUUUGCUGCAUGCGGUCCCAAUUUCCACACAUCAAUCAUCUGCUUGUAGAUUAGAAGAUCUUGGACGUGGCUACUUCCUCUCUAUAUACAAUUCCCCGAAUAUAUAUGAGCAAAAUGAUACAAAAGGUUCGCCAAAAAUGGAACUCUCUAUGUACAAUCCUCCCAAUCUGUAAUCAAAAUGAUACAAAAGGUUCACCAAAAAUCAAACAGCUUGCCGGUGAAGGAGCAUUGUUGUUGGCUGCUGGGGUGCUUUGAAGAUGGUUUUCACCUUGGAAAAUAAAUGGAAGAGUGACCAUAUAAACAGAGCGUACCCCUUCAUCAUUGACCCCAUACAUUUCAAGUACU